This is a long non-coding RNA of Lagenorhynchus albirostris (white-beaked dolphin), 6115 nucleotides long. RefSeq lists it as uncharacterized. The transcript is spliced from 6 exons. The record is from RefSeq and is a predicted model, not a curated record. NCBI's taxonomy places the organism in Eukaryota, Metazoa, Chordata, Mammalia, Artiodactyla, Delphinidae.
UUCGGAGGCAGCGGAGCCGCGGCGCCUCAGAGGGUUCCCGAGGGCCGUGGAGCCUGCGAAGGCUACCUCCGCCGGCUGACGCCUCAGCCUUCGCCCCGCGCGCCGGUCUCGGGCUUCACGGAAAUGAAAACAAGCCAAGAGUAAAACAAAACCAGUACAAAUCCCCAAGUCAAAGCAGCUACAAUCAAAUUCAAGGAAAGCAAAGAUUGCCAGAGACUGUCCGUGAAAUCGUCUUCAUCCUUUGCGCUCCCCUCUGACCUGCUCUAGUGGUUGGCUUCCUAAGCUCUGGUGUCAGAUCUGCAAAUCCUUCCGUGGGAGCACAUGGGACACUUAGGAUGAAGGAUGGUUAGGAAUGGCUUCUUCCUGAGCUUACAAAUAUCACCUGAUCCAUCCUGGCAACACCUGGUUUAUAAAGCAAGCAACUACAGUGGUCAUCUUCUUUCCAGAGGUUAUGUCAAAAAGUACUGUAUCUGCUAUUGAAAAAUCACAUCUCAGAAGCAGCACCACUUGCUGACAGCAUCUGCCAAGAUUUCCGAUGAGGCUGAUGGAAACUCGUUCCAUUUUCAUGCUGUAUAAUGAGUAGACAGAGUCCUCGCACAUCUGCUCAGGCGAGAUAAUGAUGAUAUUAUUACUAGAAGCAUUGUGCUGUAAAGAGAAUCUAUUUUUUUCCUCUCUCCUACCCCCUGCCUAUAUCUAGCCUCACUUUCUUUCCACUCUUCUCUCUUUACUGUCCUGUGUCUCUCCACUUCUCGUGUUUAUUUUCUUGCUCUCUCUCUUCCUGUUCUUUCUUUCUUUCCUCACCUCAGUGCCCCACCCAGCUUGUGGAAACCCAGGGGACAAAGUGAGGAAUUCUUCUCCUAUGGAAGAGGGGCCGCUGAGAAGGCGCUGGGGCCAGGGGCUGGCUGCCGAGAUCAGGGGAGAGGGGUCUUGGGUCCCUCCUCCGAACCCUGGGGCCGCCUGCAUUGGAGGGCCCUCUCCCACUCCCCAGCAAGAGCCCUUCUGCCCCGUCAGAGAAACCUCUGGGCUUGCCCUGUGCCCAACCUCAUCAGCAAAGAAUCAAGUGAGACAGCAGUGUGACCAGCUCACUUCUGCCAGAGAGACAACAGAUGGAAAGGGCUUAAUGUAUUUAGCAUCCAGGAAUAUUUUGCAUCAUAACUGGACACUUUCUGGAUACGUGACUGAUUUACAAAGGGAUGAAAUUUUCACGUUGGAAUAUAGUAACAAAAAAUCAGAAUGCGGGGGGGAGUAUCAGGGUCAGGGGGAGCCUUCCUUGUGUUUCUCAGAUCAUUCAUUCAUUCAUUUUUGUCAACAGUCUCUCAGCACCUAUUCUGCAGUAGGGAAUGAGCUGGUUGCUAAGGCACACAGAUGGAAAGCUAUGGUUCCCGUCUCCCAGGGCCUUAAAUCUACCCCACGGCUAAGUUCUACCCAACCCAGAUAUAUUUUUGUUCUUGAACGUGCCUCCUGUGUGGAAGCAGGAUCCCCUUGGGGCCCCUUCACUAUGCAAUUACCUUGGGCACCAGUAUAAAGAUGGAGUGGUAUGAAUUCCCUCACGUUGAUCCAUUAAUCCAUCCGUCCAUUUGCUCAUCUACCUACCCAUCCAACCAUACACCCUUCCACCCAUCCAUCCAUCCAUCCACCCACCCUUCCACCCAUCCAUCCAUCUAUCCACCCACCCUUCCACCCAUCCAUCCAUCCACCCACCCAUCCAUCCAUCCAUCCAUCCAUCCACCCACCCUUCCACCCAUCCAUCCAUCCAUCCACCCACCCUUCCACCCAUCCAUACAUCCAUCCACCCACCCUUCCACCCAUCCAUCCAUCUAUCCACCCACCCUUCCACCCAUCCAUCCACCCACCCUUCCACCCAUCCAUCCAUCCAUCCACCCACCCCUCCACCCAUCCAUCCAUCCAUCCACCCACACUUCCACGCAUCCAUCAUCCUUCCAAGCAUGCAGUAGGAGGUCAAUUAACAGCUCAGUGAGGAGCGGGGCACCCCUAAACCAUUAUUGUGGUUGGGAGCUAGGCAAAGACACACCCAGUAGUUGCAUGUAGUGUUCAUGAUUGACAACUCGCAAGUGAAUGGUUCCUGAAUCCUGGGCUGUGAUGUGAGAAAGAGAGAUGGGAUGAAUUUCAAGGACUGAUUACAAAGGUUCACAGGGAGCUGCUUAAAUUUAAUCAAAAGAGUGUCUGCCUUUCUCCCCAGACUGGGCGAGAGCUGCUCGGGGAAGGCAGAGGCUCGUGUAAACUGUCCUUCCACAGAGUUCUUGCUAUGGAGUUUUCCUCGCAGUGAUGCCCACUGCAUCACAGAGGUGCCAUUCUGAUAGUUCUUGCUUUCUUCUUAAACAAACUAAGGCUAAGUUCCCCAGAGAGUUUCCAUUGAAAGAUGCCCCCCAAAUUGGAGAACUCGGUGGAAAUCAAGAUCUGAAAUCAUUCCUUUGCUCCCCAACUGUUGUAUUCCAGUAUUUUCCUCGUUGCAGGAAUUCUGACUGAAAUGUACUCAUUUCUUUUCUUUUCUUUUCUUUUCGGCCGAGCCGUGCAGCACGUGGGACCUUAGUUCCCCAACCAGGGUUCAAACCCACACCCCCUGCAUUGGAAGCACGGAGUCUUAACCACUGCAUCGCCAGGGAAGUCCCCUGAAAUGUACUCAUUUCUAAUGUUAAUUUGAGUUGUGUCUCUUUUUAAAAAUGCCCCCCACUUCCCUUCUGAAUGUCAGGUGGCACACUCAUUAGUCGUCUGGAAUAAGUCUGUCUCCAGCUGAAUGAGACUUGGAAAGAGGAAAUAGGGGGCAGUGGUUAGAGCCCUGAGUGGUCAGGAGUCCUGGUUCCCAUGUCUUACUCUGCCACUGAGUCACUUGCUGCCACUGGACAAGCGACUUGGUUUUUCGGAGUUACCGCCUAACUGCCAAAGGGUUAAAUCCAGGAUACCACAUUGCCUUCAGAGGUUUAUCAUUGUUUUAAAAUUCUUUAUAGAUCAUGCAACACCUUCAUGCGUGCCCCCAGGGCUGACUGCUUCCACUGCCCUGACCUUAGUAUACCACUGAUUCCACUAAACCACUGUGGUAUCAGAGGCAAGAAUGUGAUAUGAUAUGCUGGACCGUCGGAGCACCAACACUACACUUUGUCAAGCUGGAGCUCCAUCAGCGAGACACUUCAACAGUGACUGGAGAACUUGCUGCUACCUGAGAGGUGUGCACAGGUGCUAUGUGACCCCUCCAGCCUAAGUGCCCUGAAGACAGCUUUGUGAAGGAAGAGGUACACACCCUUUAUCUUCAAGGAUAGUUACCUUUAUAGGUAAAGGGACAUAGCACAAGGGCCUUGUGAGAGGAACAAAGACACAGAGAUUGGAAACUGCAGGGUCUAUUCUGGAAAGAGGGGCUACUCCAAUCUAGUUAAGCACUGGUGUUUCAGAAUUAUCAGCUGCCAUGAUGGGACAGGUGGGGAGAGACAAAUGGUGCUCACUUGAUCAGUGCCAUGCUCUAGGAAGCCUGAAACGCUCCAGUUUGGGUGGGCAGAGGGGACCCUGUGCUGGUCUCUAGUCUGAGUCCUGUUUCAGCUACCUGCUAAUUAUGUGGCCCUUUGUCUUUCAUGAGUCUCAGAACAGCUAUAAGAAGGGGCUGGUAAUCACUGUCUUUCCUCCCUCACAGGGUAACUGUAAAGCACAAUAUAAACAUGAAAGGUUAUUAUCUCCUCCACGUCCAGACCUAACUAUAGAUUCACCCAUCUUAGGUUGUUGCCCCAGCCUCAGAGGAGUGACCCUCAGGCCUCCUCCUUGGUUUCAUCCAUGAUCUCCCAUAUUUCUAGUAUUUUAAGUAUUUCCCUCUCUCUCUCCUGAGUGUUUUUUCUCUGUCUCCAAAUAUGCUCUGAUCUUAAAAAAUAAAGAUCCUUCCUUGGAUCUUCUGUAUCUCCUAAGACACUAUCCAUUUCCCUUGUUCUCACCAAACUUCUUAAAAGAAUAGACUAUUUUCUCACCUUUUCUCAUCUUCUACCCACUGUUAACUAUGCCUCCUCCAAUGUCCAAUUAAGAGUGGGCCCUCUCCUACAGUGUUGGUGGGAAUGUAAAUUGAUACAGCCACUGUGGAGAACAGUAUGGAGGUUCCUUAAAAAACUAGAAAUAGAGUUACCAUAUGAUCCAGCAAUCCCACCCCUGGGCAUAUAUCUGGAGAAAAACAUGGUUGGAAAGGAUACAUACACCCCAAUGUUCAUUGCAGCGCUGUUUACAAUAGCCAAGACAUGGAAGCAGCCUAAAUGUCCAUCAACAGAUGAAUGGAUAAAGAAGAUGCUGUAUAUACACACAAUGGAAUAUUACUCAGUCAUAGAAAAGAAUGAAAUAAUGCCACUUGUGGCAACAUGAAUGGACCUAGAGAUUAUCAUACUGAGUGAAGUAAGUCAGACAGAGAAAGACAAAUAUCAUAUAAUAACACUUAUAUGUGGAAUCUAAAAAAAUGAUACAAAGGAACUUCUUUACAAAACAGAAAUAGACUCACAGACAUAGAAACAAACUUACGGUUACUGAAGGGGAAAGGGGGAGCAGGGAUAUAUUAGGGAUGUGGGAUUAACAGAUACACGCAACUAUAUAUAAAAUAGAUAAAAAACAAGGCCCUACUGUAUGGGACAGGGAACUAUAUUCAAUGUCGUGUAAUAACCUAUGAUGGAAAAGAAUCUGAAAAAGUAUAUAUGUAUAUAUAUAUAUAACUGAAUCACUUUGCUGUAUACCUGAAACAUUGUAAAUCAACUAUACUUCAAUUAAAAAAAAGUUUUUUAAAAGAGUGGGCCCUCAAAGGCCAUAAUGCCAGCACCUAGGGGCUUCAUCCUCUUAUCCUGCCUGGUUUAACCUGCCCUGGUGAAAUGCUUGCAUUAUGGCUUCCUCAACCCGCCCCCCUUUCCUUUUCCUUCUCCCCCCUUCUCGGAGUUGGGGGUCCCUCAGAUUCUGCUGACCUCGGGCUUUUCCUCACUCAGCACACUCUGCUGGGAACACUUAGUUAACCUCAUGGCUUCCACAGUCCUCUUGCAGAUGAAGCACAAAUACCUUUAAUUCUGACUUUCUCUCCCUUAAUCCAGUCCAAUGGUUUCCAACUGACCUGUCAAAGCAUCGAUUUGAACAUCCUGAGACUCCUCAGGCUCAGCUUGUGCAAAGCUGAGGCCAGCUUCUCCUCGCUUGUGACUGUUCUUUCUCUGUUGUUCCAUAUACGUGUUUUUUUUUUAAUUUUAUUUAUUUAUUUAUUUAUGGUUGUGUUGGGUCUUCAUUGCUUCACGUGAGCUUUUUCUAGUUGUGGAGAGCAGGGGCUACCCUUUGUGUGGUGCGCGGGCUUCUCAUUGCGGUGGCUUCUCUUGUUGCGGAGCACGGGCUCUAGGCACGAGGGCUUCAGUAGUUGUGGCUUGCGGGCUGUAGAGCGCAGGCUCAGUAGCUGUGGCGCACGGGCUUAGUUGCCCCAUGGCAUGUGGGAUCUUCCCAGACCAGGGCUCGAACCCACGUCUCCUGCAUUGGCAGGCAGAUUCUUAACCGCUGUGCCACCAGGGAACUCCCCAUAUAUGUUUUUUAAUGGUCCCACCAUCAUUUAUGUCAUUGUAGCCUAAAGAUUUGACUCCUCCAACUCCUAUACAUCAUAUAUUAAAGCAAUCACCAAAUCCAAUUAAUUAACCCGUAUAAUUGUCCCUGAAAUAAUUCACCUCUCUUUUAUUCUUAUCGCCACUAUUCUUUGAGAAGGGGUUUGUUUUGUUUUGCUUUGUUUUUAACUGGGCUGUUCUAAUAGUUUCUCAAGUGGUCUUCCUGAUACCACUCUUUUUACCUUUUUUUUUCCUGCGGUACGCGGGCCUCUCACUGUUGUGGCCUCUCCCGUGCGGAGCACAGGCUCUGGACGCGCAGGCUCAGCGGCCAUGGCUCACGGGCCCAGCUGCUCCGCGGCAUGUGGGAUCUUCCCGGACCGGGGCACGAACCAGUGUCCCCUGCAUCGGCAGGUGGACUCUCAACCACUGCGCCACCAGGGAAGCCCAAGAUACCACUCUUUUUAAAUCAAAACAAUCUUUCACAUUCCUGAUGGUUCUCUCUUUAAAGACAGAUUUGGUCCUGCUUAAAAAAUUCCCAUUGUUUGCAGAAUAAAGUCACAAUUCUUUAAAAAAAA